AAUGAUAAACAGCAACAGGAGAUACAGGAUAGGUGGUGUUUUGUGUGCUUGGGACAUCAAGAAUUCCAUUUCGCCAGUGACCAGAUUGAGUCUCUCCAUUCCUGAAUGUAUACAUUCCAAGGCCCUGCCUUCUACCUUCAUGCCAGGCUCCCUCAUACCGAUGCCCAUUUGCAAAACGAUAGACACCAAAGCCAUGCAUCUUAUCCGCAAAAUAUUCUCCAGCGUAUGUGUCCCCAUUUCUGAAAUGGUAGUGACCGAGCCCAUGCUUGACACCCCACUUGAAUUCCCCAACAUACCGACUCCCGUCUUCACAAGUAUGGACUCCGCAUCCAUGACUCUGGCCAUUAGACCAUUCCCCUGCAUA
RNAcentral lists this unclassified non-coding RNA (364 nucleotides) under Hevea brasiliensis (rubber tree). Lineage: Eukaryota; Viridiplantae; Streptophyta; Magnoliopsida; Malpighiales; Euphorbiaceae. The record is from RNAcentral.